This is a long non-coding RNA of Cydia fagiglandana, 883 nucleotides long. RefSeq lists it as uncharacterized. The record is from RefSeq and is a predicted model, not a curated record. The transcript is spliced from 2 exons. NCBI's taxonomy places the organism in Eukaryota, Metazoa, Arthropoda, Insecta, Lepidoptera, Tortricidae.
AACUGGCUUAAGAAGACAUUUGAGGGUAGAUUUUGUUUACUUUUAUUUAAAUACCUAAAGAUACAGAUUAUAAUUGAAACACUCGAGCGAAUUCGAAUACCUAUUAAACCUUGGUCAAAUUUAGUACAUUACGAUACAAAAGUGAAAAAUAGGAAAUUCGAAACGAUAAACUAAAACACGGUCGAAGGGAGUGAUUUAAAUCGACACGAGUUGCGAAUUACCUAUUCGCACGUUUUACAUUACAUAUGGCCGUUUAAAUUUUCGAUAUAGUCACGUAAUGUGCUAAUUAUCGCACUAGUGCGGUAAAGUAUCACCAUAUGUACUGUAAAUUACAUUAUUGUAUCUUCGCUCAGUUGUUAUGAUUUAUUAUGUUCAAACGCUUAUUAUGAUUACAUUUAAAAACUUAAAUACUAAGUGUUACUACGCGAGCCGACACGACUCAUAUUCUGACUUUGAUUAAAAAAAAAACUUGCCAUCAUCAUCAUCAAAAACUUCGCAAGAGAAAUACAUGUUUUUUGCCGGUAUAAUAAAGUUUUUUUUUAAUAAUACAAUGAUAGUGGCAAACAGGAAUACCGCCCGCCCGAUGGUAAGCGGUAACCGUAGCCCAUGGAUGACUGUGACGUCAGCAACAGUGACAUUUGCUGAAUUGUCGCACCUGCCACCGUGGUGAAAUAGGGGCCUGGUCCGCUCGUAUAGCAACACUACAAAUUAUGCAUACAUAUUACGUGGUUUAAAUACGAAAUAAUAUCUUAUAUUACUAGAAUUAUUGUCGAUUAUUGCUUGGAAAUACAUUUUUAAAAACCGACUUAAAAAUUGGUCCCAUUUUGUGACAGAUUUAUAAAACAUGGGAAUGUUUUUUUUAAUUGGUCCCUAAUGUUAGAUU